Molecule: transfer RNA, 72 nt
Filed under: Pterogobius elapoides
Lineage: Eukaryota; Metazoa; Chordata; Actinopteri; Gobiiformes; Gobiidae
Description: tRNA-Val
Rfam family: tRNA
About the family: Transfer RNA (tRNA) molecules are approximately 80 nucleotides in length. Their secondary structure includes four short double-helical elements and three loops (D, anti-codon, and T loops). Further hydrogen bonds mediate the characteristic L-shaped molecular structure. tRNAs have two regions of fundamental functional importance: the anti-codon, which is responsible for specific mRNA codon recognition, and the 3' end, to which the tRNAs corresponding amino acid is attached (by aminoacyl-tRNA synthetases). tRNAs cope with the degeneracy of the genetic code in two manners: having more than one tRNA (with a specific anti-codon) for a particular amino acid; and 'wobble' base-pairing, i.e. permitting non-standard base-pairing at the 3rd anti-codon position.
Source: RNAcentral
CAGAACGUAGCUAAAUUAGAAGAGCAUCUCCCUUACACCGAGAAGGUACCCGUGCAAAUCGGGCCGUACUGA